This 253-nucleotide ribosomal RNA is filed under the name uncultured bacterium. Its description in RNAcentral is "partial 16S ribosomal RNA". It matches the Rfam family "Bacterial small subunit ribosomal RNA", at positions 524 to 776 of the family's 1533-position model. The record is from RNAcentral.
AACGUAGGACGCAAGCGUUAUCCGGAGUUACUGGGCGUAAAGCGCGGGCAGGCGGUUCUGCCAGUCUGAUGUGAAAUCUCCUCGCUCAACGGGGAGCAGCCAUUGGAAACUACAGAACUGGAGUCUGACAGAGGUAGGCGGAAUUCCAGGUGUAGCGGUGAAAUGCGUAGAUAUCUGGAGGAACACCGGUGGCGAAGGCGACAUCCUGGACCGGUAUUGACGCUGAGGCGCGAAAGCCAGGGGAGCAAACGGG